This 448-nucleotide ribosomal RNA is filed under the name uncultured soil bacterium. Its description in RNAcentral is "bacterial SSU rRNA". It matches the Rfam family "Bacterial small subunit ribosomal RNA", at positions 26 to 495 of the family's 1533-position model. The record is from RNAcentral.
AGGACGAACGCUGGCGGCGUGCUUAACACAUGCAAGUCGAGCGGUAAGGCCUUUCGGGGUACACGAGCGGCGAACGGGUGAGUAACACGUGGGUGAUCUGCCCUGCACUUCAGGAUAAGCCUGGGAAACUGGGUCUAAUACCGGAUAUGACCUCCUAUCGCAUGGUGGGUGGUGGAAAGAUUUAUCGGUGCAGGAUGGGCCCGCGGCCUAUCAGCUUGUUGGUGGGGUAAUGGCCUACCAAGGCGACGACGGGUAGCCGACCUGAGAGGGUGACCGGCCACACUGGGACUGAGACACGGCCCAGACUCCUACGGGAGCAGCAGUGGGAAUAUUGCACAAUGGGACGAAAGCCUGAUGCAGCGACGCGCGUGAGGAUGACGGCUUCGGGUGUAACCUCGUUUCGGCAGGACGAAGACGCAAGGUAGACGGUACCUGCGAAGAAACGAAG